UGGUUAACUUAAAAAUAAGGCUAAAUUACAGAACCCCCUUGUAAUAACCCGCUUUUUUACUUUUCCUCCCUGACAUUUAAAAACCUACACUUUGCCCCCCUGUAAAAUAAAAAAUAUGCACUUCACCCCCUAUCGUUAGGGUUCCGUCAGGGUUCCGUUAAAAAAUAUAUUUUUAUGCCGAAAAUACCCCUCCGCCAUCUCCCUGUUGCUUCGACUCCCUCCGGCUCGCCACCUCGCCGCCGCCUCGCCGCCUCGCCGCCUAGCCACCUCGCCGUCCUCCACUGCCUCGCCCUCACCCACAUCCCCUUCGCCGUCCUCCGCCGCUUCGCCUUCGCCUUCUUUGCCCUUCUCCUACUGUCGCCCACCUCGGCUUUCUCCUACUGUCGCCGAAAUCGAGGGCGGCGAGGGUGCAGGAGGAGAAGGGGAGCAGGUGAAGAAGGAAAUGGAGAGAAAUCGCGACCGAUUGAUGUGGGAAUCGCGGCCGAACGAAGGGGCGGCUGAGGAAGAUGGGAAAGAAGACGACAAUGGCGAGGGGCAAAAUGGUCAUUUUACACACCGUAACCCCCCUGUGAACAUUUUUCAUUUUACAGGGGGGCAAAGUGUAGGUUUUUAAAUGUCAGGGAGGGAAAGUGAAAAAGCGAGUUAUUACAGGGGGGUUUUCUGUAAUUUAGCCUAAAAAUAAUUUUGGUUAGUAAGCUCCUAAAUAUGAAAAGAUCUACUUCUUUUCUGGUGAUGUACAUAAAUCUUUAGGCUCCGUUUGGUUCGGGAAUUAGUAGGAACUAUUUAUACCAGGGAUAGGUACAAGUAUGGAUUUUUGUAAGAAUAAGGGUAUUUUUUUGUUCGAAUAAAAAUGUGAGUAUAAGCUGGAACUUGAAAAAUUACGUUUGAAUGGUUAUUUGGAAUAAGAUGAAUAGUUGUUAGUUAUAAUGAUAUUAUCCCUAUAAUUGAAUUUAAAUUUUUUAUAUUUUAAACUUAUAAUUAAAUUUUUAUAUUUUAAACUUAUAAUUUUAAAUUGAAAAUUAAAAAUUUUAACUUUUUAAUUUUAAAAUUUGAAAUUAAAAUUUAAAAUUAUAAUUUUAAAUAUCAAAUUUUAAAUUUAAGACCAAAUUUAAUUUUCAAAAAUAUAAAAUAGCAAUUUUAAAAUUUAAAAACUAAAAUAUUCAAAUUUUAAAAUUUAAAAUUUAAAAAUAUCAAAUUUAAAAUUUAAACUUUAAAUUUUAUAAUUUUAAAUUAUAAAUUUAAAUUUUAAAAUUAUAAAUUUUAAAAAUUUAAAUUUAAAUUUAAAAUAAAAUUCUCUCUCUCUCUCUCUCUCUCUCGCUCUCUCUCUCUCUCUCUCUCUCUCCCCCCAAUGGGUGGGAACAAACUUGUUCAAGCUUGUUCCCACCCGGGGUGGGAACUGCUGUUCCCACCCCCCACCCUUAGCGGGUUAUCCCGGGUGGGAACAAUAAUUCCCACCUAGAUUGAAUCUUGUUUGGGUACAAGAUAGGGUAAAAGCCUCUUAUACCCCAUUUUGUACCCAUUCCAAACAGGGUGUUAGAAUUGAAGAAUUAGCUGAAUGCAUUAGAAUAGAAAAGAAAAAGACCGAUUUUAUUGUGUUUUAAAGCUUCACAAAAUCACGCGCAAAAUGUUUCUCAGAAAUAACUAUUUACUUAUAGUAACUUU
RNAcentral lists this long non-coding RNA (1662 nucleotides) under Ananas comosus (pineapple). RNAcentral's name for it is "long non-coding RNA (ACOM_LNC036829)". The record is from RNAcentral. Lineage: Eukaryota; Viridiplantae; Streptophyta; Magnoliopsida; Poales; Bromeliaceae.